GAAAGAUGGCUGAGCUGGUCUAAGGCGCACGAUUGGAAAUCGUGUGUGCGUUAGUAGCGCACCGUGGGUUCGAAUCCCACUCUUUCC
Molecule: transfer RNA, 87 nt
Filed under: human gut metagenome
Rfam family: tRNA
About the family: Transfer RNA (tRNA) molecules are approximately 80 nucleotides in length. Their secondary structure includes four short double-helical elements and three loops (D, anti-codon, and T loops).
Source: RNAcentral